CUACCUUUCUCGGCCUUUUGAAUAAGAUCAAGUGUAGGAUCUGUUCUUAUCAGUUUAAUAUCUGAUAUGUGAGUUAUUGACUCACACUUUAAUUCAAUUUUUUUACGGGGAAAGUCCACUACGGUAGCUUGCUAUCGGGACUUUCUGGUGUCGCCUUGGCGUAGCACUACUGCUUUGGCUAGGCACACCCCAC
RNAcentral lists this small nuclear RNA (193 nucleotides) under Nicotiana sylvestris (wood tobacco). RNAcentral describes it as "U2 spliceosomal RNA". It matches the Rfam family "U2 spliceosomal RNA". From Rfam's summary of the family: U2 is a small nuclear RNA (snRNA) component of the spliceosome (involved in pre-mRNA splicing). Lineage: Eukaryota; Viridiplantae; Streptophyta; Magnoliopsida; Solanales; Solanaceae. The record is from Rfam by way of RNAcentral.